Molecule: ribosomal RNA, 253 nt
Filed under: uncultured bacterium
Lineage: Bacteria
Description: partial 16S ribosomal RNA
Rfam family: Bacterial small subunit ribosomal RNA
Source: RNAcentral
UACGAAGGGGGCUAGCGUUGUUCGGAAUUACUGGGCGUAAAGCGUGCGCAGGCGGCUUCUCAAGUCAGGGGUGAAAGCCCAGAGCUCAACUCUGGAAUUGCCUUUGAGACUGAGUGGCUUGAGUACGAGAGAGGUGAGUGGAAUUCCCAGUGUAAAGGUGAAAUUCGUAGAUAUUGGGAAGAACACCGGUGGCGAAGGCGGCUCACUGGCUCGUAACUGACGCUCAUGCACGACAGCGUGGGGAUCAAACAGG